Non-coding RNA from Mesocricetus auratus (golden hamster), 536 nucleotides. NCBI's taxonomy places the organism in Eukaryota, Metazoa, Chordata, Mammalia, Rodentia, Cricetidae. The record is from the annotation of a RefSeq genome assembly.
GCACAGCUGCUUGUAGUUUAUAAACCAGGCCUUGAUAGUGAGAACUAAGCAUCAUCAGACAGGCAGGAAGAGCAAGAUGGAGUCAUACACCCAGGCCCUCAUGUCCCUGAUGCUCUGGAUAUCUGGCACCUGUGCAGAUAUUGUGAUGACCCAGUCUCCAUCCUCCUUGGCUGUGUCAGCAGGAGAGAAGGUCACCAUCAGUUGCAGCUCCAGUCAGAAUCUUUUAUACAGUGAAGACCAGAAGAACUAUUUGAACUGGUACCAGCAGAAACCAGGGCAGUCUCCUAAACUGCUGAUAUACUGGGGAUCCACUCGGCCAACCGGGGUUCCUCAUCGCUUCAUAGGCAGUGGAUCUGGGACUGAUUUCACUUUCACCAUCAGCAGUGUCCAGGAUGAAGACCAGGCAGAUUAUUACUGUAUGCAGAGUUAUAGUUAUCCUCUCACAGUGCUUCAGUCUCCAACAAAAACCACCUCUGCGAAUCUCACCAGCUGCCUGUAACACAAACAGCCCUGGACCUGCACACUUCCUCCUUCUG